CAAAAAUAGCUUUAUAUCAAUAUUUAAAUCAUUGUUCAAUUCUAUUAAUUCUGAAAGUUUUAUAAAUUCUUUCCAUAUGACAAUUGUAAUAAAAUGCAUUGAAUUUGUACAAGAUGACACACACACUUGGCCACACAUUUCGUUUUCAAUUUAAUUGCUGCCGCUUAAAAUCGACGCAUGUGGCUUUUUGUGGAUACUGUUCAACACACGAAACGAAAAAUCAAACAAAAAAGUCACAGUUAUAAAAUCGACAAACGUCACCACCUCGAAACAUAUGUUUUAGACAGCACAGCACAACUAUUUCUAUUCAGCACCGGCGUAACGAAGAAGAGAAGAACCCCAAGACGCUACAUUCACUGUUCUACCUGAGAAACUCACCACCGCAAGUUGGCAAAAUAUACUCAAUAUUUAGGAGGAUGAGAAUAACUGCGAAACGAAAUAUACUCACUAUUUAGGGGAGAGAAUGUGGUUACCGCUCAGUAAUGGAAAGUACGCAUAAUCGUGUAUUUUCCGCCCUUUUUAAUGCAGUCCGCACUUUGCACACAAUCGACUACUUUUUAGCACUAUUUGAUGAAAUACGAAAAUAUGUACAUAGGUAUUUUUAUUUGCGACUUAAAGAAUACGAUAUUUUUAAAACUAUACAGUAUGAUAGCACAUACACAAUUUUUAAUUUUAGUAAAAUUAAUUUUGAGGAAACUAAAAUAUGCGUUGACAAAUAGAAAAGCGGAAAUUGUGUAUUCUUAGCAGAUUGGAUAGAUAAAUGUAAAAUUGUGGGCAUUUCUACAGUGUGGUUCUAUAAUAAAGAUCCAAUGAAUAUAUCGGUA
Non-coding RNA from Bactrocera oleae (olive fruit fly), 824 nucleotides. NCBI's taxonomy places the organism in Eukaryota, Metazoa, Arthropoda, Insecta, Diptera, Tephritidae. The record is from RefSeq and is a predicted model, not a curated record.